UACGAAGGGGGCUAGCGUUGCUCGGAAUGACUGGGGGUAAAGGGCGCGUAGGCGGACGGCUUUGUCGGGCGUGAAAUUCCAGGGCUUAACCUUGGGGCUGCGUUCGAGACGGGUUGUCUAGAGUUUGGAAGAGGGUCGUGGAAUUCCCAGUGUAGAGGUGAAAUUCGUAGAUAUUGGGAAGAACACCGGUGGCGAAGGCGGCGACCUGGUCCUUGACUGACGCUGAGGCGCGAAAGCGUGGGGAGCAAACAGG
Molecule: ribosomal RNA, 253 nt
Filed under: uncultured bacterium
Lineage: Bacteria
Description: partial 16S ribosomal RNA
Rfam family: Bacterial small subunit ribosomal RNA
Source: RNAcentral